AGUGAACGCUGGCGGCAGGCCUAAUACAUGCAAGUCGAACGGACGGACAGUAAGCGUUUGCUCUUACGGGUGGCGAGUGGCGGAUGGGUGAGGCGUAGAUAGGCAUCUUCUUUUUUGUGGGGGACUACGUAGGGCCGGUUCUGCUACUACCGCAUAUGAUGUACGGGUGAAUGCAGGGGAUAUUCGCAGCUUUCGUGUCUGUAAGAGACGAUGCCGGACUGGCUAGUUGGGGGGGUAAGGGCCCACCAAGGCGACGAUACGUAGCUGGUCUGAGAGGAUGAUCGGCCACACUGGAACUGAGACACGGUCCAGACUCCUACGGGAGGCAGCAGUAGGGAAUAUUGGGCAAUGGGCGAAAGCCUGAUCCAGCCAUGCCGCGUGGGUGAAGAAGGCCUUCGGAUUGUAAAGCCCUUUUAUUAGGGAAGAAAAGCAGCAGAUUAAUACCCCGCUGUUCUGACGGUACCCAAUGAGAAAGCACCGGCUAACUUCGUG
RNAcentral lists this ribosomal RNA (492 nucleotides) under uncultured bacterium. RNAcentral's name for it is "partial 16S ribosomal RNA". It matches the Rfam family "Bacterial small subunit ribosomal RNA", at positions 29 to 507 of the family's 1533-position model. The record is from RNAcentral.